RNAcentral lists this transfer RNA (69 nucleotides) under Loxodonta africana (African savanna elephant). It matches the Rfam family "tRNA". Rfam says of the family: Transfer RNA (tRNA) molecules are approximately 80 nucleotides in length. Their secondary structure includes four short double-helical elements and three loops (D, anti-codon, and T loops). Further hydrogen bonds mediate the characteristic L-shaped molecular structure. tRNAs have two regions of fundamental functional importance: the anti-codon, which is responsible for specific mRNA codon recognition, and the 3' end, to which the tRNAs corresponding amino acid is attached (by aminoacyl-tRNA synthetases). tRNAs cope with the degeneracy of the genetic code in two manners: having more than one tRNA (with a specific anti-codon) for a particular amino acid; and 'wobble' base-pairing, i.e. permitting non-standard base-pairing at the 3rd anti-codon position. Lineage: Eukaryota; Metazoa; Chordata; Mammalia; Proboscidea; Elephantidae. The record is from Rfam by way of RNAcentral.
GGUGUUGUAGCUCAGUGGUAGAGCUCUUGCUUCCCAUGUAUGAGGUAAAUGGCUUAACUUCCGAUACCA